RNAcentral lists this transfer RNA (74 nucleotides) under Bacillus cereus. RNAcentral describes it as "tRNA-Met". It matches the Rfam family "tRNA". Rfam says of the family: Transfer RNA (tRNA) molecules are approximately 80 nucleotides in length. RNAcentral also lists the same sequence under 7 other names. Lineage: Bacteria; Bacillati; Bacillota; Bacilli; Caryophanales; Bacillaceae. The record is from RNAcentral.
GGCUCUUUAGCUCAGUUGGUUAGAGCGCUACCCUCAUAAGGUAGAAGUCGAUUGUUCGAGUCAAUCAAGAGCCA